Molecule: long non-coding RNA, 361 nt
Filed under: Manihot esculenta (cassava)
Lineage: Eukaryota; Viridiplantae; Streptophyta; Magnoliopsida; Malpighiales; Euphorbiaceae
Description: long non-coding RNA (MESC_LNC006648)
Source: RNAcentral
AUUGUUUUUGUUGUCUUCUGAUGUAUUAGAUUUCUGCCUGGGUGAAAAAAUCAUCAUUGUCGUUAUCCAGGCUGAUUGGUGAUGGAGAUGCUGCUGAGCUUCUAACAUCAUUUAAUUCAUUAAUUAAUUGGUCAUAUUCUUCUUCGGAUGUACAUGCAGCCAUUUGAGACAUGAUCUGCUGUUUUCGAGCUAAGAAAGUUUCUUGUCUGGUGAUGAUAGAAAUACUGGGUUUUUUGCAAAAUUGUGGGUGGUCUUGAAAGAAUUGUUCAAUGGCUUUAGUGUUACAGCCAUGUAAAUUGGUUUUAUUCCACCAUUUUGUUUUGAAUCUUCUGACUAUAGUGGGAACUUGAAAAAUACCUAU